Molecule: small RNA, 127 nt
Filed under: Marmota monax (woodchuck)
Lineage: Eukaryota; Metazoa; Chordata; Mammalia; Rodentia; Sciuridae
Source: RNAcentral
GCCAGGCACCGUGGCGUAUGCCUGUAAUCCCAGUGGCUCGGGAGGCUGAGGCAGGAGGAUUGUGUGUUCAAAGUCAGCCUUAGCAAUUUAGCUAGGCCCUAAGCAAUUCAGAUAGACCCUGUCUCAA